Long non-coding RNA from Triticum dicoccoides, 582 nucleotides. RefSeq lists it as uncharacterized. The transcript has 3 exons. The record is from RefSeq and is a predicted model, not a curated record. NCBI's taxonomy places the organism in Eukaryota, Viridiplantae, Streptophyta, Magnoliopsida, Poales, Poaceae.
CGCAUUGUCAACCCAAAGAGACCGAGUCUCUUCAUCCAUCUCCACGAAAAUCGCCCUUUUAUUGGCAUGUUCAAAUGCUUCUGCAGCUUUCAAUUUUUUAUUUGCCUCAAGUCCAGGCAUGCUAUUUAAUAUCUUCAUACAUGCUUUGACUGAGUAAGCUUCUAUCUGUUGUGCUGCAUUUUUCUUUGAUUCAGCGAUGAUGAGUGAUGCGUCCGCUAGGCGAUCAAUUGCGUUUAUAGCAUCAUCAGCUGAUCGCUUAUGCCCCUUUGAAGAUACAGCACCGAGUCCGGAUGCAGUAGAGCUCGCACAUAUGUCUUGCAGGUCUAUCCAACUAGGCCACACUUUAUCUCGGAUGACGAAUCUGCAAAUUGAAUGCUGCUGAUGAAAACAAGUUCAGGAAGAGAUCCCUUGUCUUCCCAGCAGCGGCCAACUGCCAGUAAUCGGUGUUCCCAGCCUAGCGCCGGCGGCCAAGGAAUCGGUGAUCACAACAGGUGUUAGCGGCUAGCCAUUGAACUAGGUUUCCAGAUCUGUUUUGCCGAGGUUUGUUCUACCACCGUCCAGUUUAUAUAGAAGCGAUGGAAA